UUGCAAGAGAGACUCGGGGGUUUUUUUACACUGCUGCUUUUUCUGUAAUUUUAGAGCUUAUGACCAAAGCUGGCCUGAAAAUAUUACACAGAAGUUCCCACCAGCAGCUCUCACUUAUUCUUGGACUUGUGCAGAGAAUUUGCUGUUAGAAGAGAGAAGAGUGCAUCUGAUAUACCCAGGAAGGGAGAUCAAUAAGAGAAACAGAGACAGCUCUGUUGCU
RNAcentral lists this long non-coding RNA (220 nucleotides) under Athene cunicularia (burrowing owl). RNAcentral describes it as "lncRNA (ENSACUG00000001447.1)". The record is from RNAcentral. Lineage: Eukaryota; Metazoa; Chordata; Aves; Strigiformes; Strigidae.